GGUUAAGCGACUAAGCGUACACGGUGGAUGCCCUGGCAGUCAGAGGCGAUGAAGGGCGUGCUAAUCUGCGAUAAGCGCCGGUAAGGUGAUAUGAACCGUUAUAACCGGCGAUACCCGAAUGGGGAAACCCAGUGUGAUUCGUCACACUAUCAUUAACUGAAUCCAUAGGUUAAUGAGGCGAACCGGGGGAACUGAAACAUCUAAGUACCCCGAGGAAAAGAAAUCAACCGAGAUUCCCCCAGUAGCGGCGAGCGAACGGGGAGGAGCCCAGAGCCUGAAUCAGCAUGUGUGUUAGUGGAAGCGUCUGGAAAGGCGCGCGAUACAGGGUGACAGCCCCGUACACAAAAGCGCAUGUGCUGUGAGCUCGAUGAGUAGGGCGGGACACGUGGUAUCCUGUCUGAAUAUGGGGGGACCAUCCUCCAAGGCUAAAUACUCCUGACUGACCGAUAGUGAACCAGUACCGUGAGGGAAAGGCGAAAAGAACCCCGGCGAGGGGAGUGAAAAAGAACCUGAAACCGUGUACGUACAAGCAGUGGGAGCACAGGUUUACCUGUGUGACUGCGUACCUUUUGUAUAAUGGGUCAGCGACUUAUAUUCUGUAGCAAGGUUAACCGAAUAGGGGAGCCGGAGGGAAACCGAGUCUUAACCGGGCGUUAAGUUGCAGGGUAUAGACCCGAAACCCGGUGAUCUAGCCAUGGGCAGGUUGAAGGUUGGGUAACACUAACUGGAGGACCGAACCGACUAAUGUUGAAAAAUUAGCGGAUGACCUGUGGCUGGGGGUGAAAGGCCAAUCAAACCGGGAGAUAGCUGGUUCUCCCCGAAAGCUAUUUAGGUAGCGCCUCGUGAAUUCAUCUCCGGGGGUAGAGCACUGUUUCGGCUAGGGGGCCAUCCCGGCUUACCAACCCGAUGCAAACUGCGAAUACCGGAGAAUGUUAUCACGGGAGACACACGGCGGGUGCUAACGUCCGUCGUGAAGAGGGAAACAACCCAGACCGCCAGCUAAGGUCCCAAAGUCAUGGUUAAGUGGGAAACGAUGUGGGAAGGCCCAGACAGCCAGGAUGUUGGCUUAGAAGCAGCCAUCAUUUAAAGAAAGCGUAAUAGCUCACUGGUCGAGUCGGCCUGCGCGGAAGAUGUAACGGGGCUAAACCAUGCACCGAAGCUGCGGCAGCGACACUGUGUGUUGUUGGGUAGGGGAGCGUUCUGUAAGCCUGCGAAGGUGGCCUGUGAGGGUUGCUGGAGGUAUCAGAAGUGCGAAUGCUGACAUAAGUAACGAUAAAGCGGGUGAAAAGCCCGCUCGCCGGAAGACCAAGGGUUCCUGUCCAACGUUAAUCGGGGCAGGGUGAGUCGACCCCUAAGGCGAGGCCGAAAGGCGUAGUCGAUGGGAAACGGGUUAAUAUUCCCGUACUUGGUGUUACUGCGAAGGGGGGACGGAGAAGGCUAUGUUGGCCGGGCGACGGUUGUCCCGGUUUAAGCGUGUAGGUGUGUGUUCCAGGUAAAUCCGGUUCACUUUAACACUGAGGCGUGAUGACGAGGCACUACGGUGCUGAAGCAACAAAUGCCCUGCUUCCAGGAAAAGCCUCUAAGCAUCAGGUAACAUCAAAUCGUACCCCAAACCGACACAGGUGGUCAGGUAGAGAAUACCAAGGCGCUUGAGAGAACUCGGGUGAAGGAACUAGGCAAAAUGGUGCCGUAACUUCGGGAGAAGGCACGCUGACAUGUAGGUGAAGUGAUUUACUCAUGGAGCUGAAGUCAGUCGAAGAUACCAGCUGGCUGCAACUGUUUAUUAAAAACACAGCACUGUGCAAACACGAAAGUGGACGUAUACGGUGUGACGCCUGCCCGGUGCCGGAAGGUUAAUUGAUGGGGUCAGCGCAAGCGAAGCUCCUGAUCGAAGCCCCGGUAAACGGCGGCCGUAACUAUAACGGUCCUAAGGUAGCGAAAUUCCUUGUCGGGUAAGUUCCGACCUGCACGAAUGGCGUAAUGAUGGCCAGGCUGUCUCCACCCGAGACUCAGUGAAAUUGAACUCGCUGUGAAGAUGCAGUGUACCCGCGGCAAGACGGAAAGACCCCGUGAACCUUUACUAUAGCUUGACACUGAACAUUGAGCCUUGAUGUGUAGGAUAGGUGGGAGGCUUUGAAGUGUGGACGCCAGUCUGCAUGGAGCCGACCUUGAAAUACCACCCUUUAAUGUUUGAUGUUCUAACGUGGACCCGUUACCCGGGUUGCGGACAGUGUCUGGUGGGUAGUUUGACUGGGGCGGUCUCCUCCUAAAGAGUAACGGAGGAGCACGAAGGUUGGCUAAUCCUGGUCGGACAUCAGGAGGUUAGUGCAAUGGCAUAAGCCAGCUUGACUGCGAGCGUGACGGCGCGAGCAGGUGCGAAAGCAGGUCAUAGUGAUCCGGUGGUUCUGAAUGGAAGGGCCAUCGCUCAACGGAUAAAAGGUACUCCGGGGAUAACAGGCUGAUACCGCCCAAGAGUUCAUAUCGACGGCGGUGUUUGGCACCUCGAUGUCGGCUCAUCACAUCCUGGGGCUGAAGUAGGUCCCAAGGGUAUGGCUGUUCGCCAUUUAAAGUGGUACGCGAGCUGGGUUUAGAACGUCGUGAGACAGUUCGGUCCCUAUCUGCCGUGGGCGCUGGAGAACUGAGGGGGGCUGCUCCUAGUACGAGAGGACCGGAGUGGACGCAUCACUGGUGUUCGGGUUGUCAUGCCAAUGGCACUGCCCGGUAGCUAAAUGCGGAAGAGAUAAGUGCUGAAAGCAUCUAAGCACGAAACUUGCCCCGAGAUGAGUUCUCCCUGAGACUUAAAGUCUCCUGAAGGAACGUUGAAGACGACGACGUUGAUAGGCCGGGUGUGUAAGCGCAGCGAUGCGUUGAGCUAACCGGUACUAAUGAACCGUGAGGCUUAACCUU
Molecule: ribosomal RNA, 2907 nt
Filed under: Salmonella enterica subsp. enterica
Lineage: Bacteria; Pseudomonadati; Pseudomonadota; Gammaproteobacteria; Enterobacterales; Enterobacteriaceae
Description: 23S ribosomal RNA
Rfam family: Bacterial large subunit ribosomal RNA
Source: RNAcentral